Non-coding RNA from Nicotiana sylvestris (wood tobacco), 196 nucleotides. Lineage: Eukaryota; Viridiplantae; Streptophyta; Magnoliopsida; Solanales; Solanaceae. The record is from Rfam.
AUACCUUUCUCGGCCUUUUGGCUAAGAUCAAGUGUAGUAUCUGUUCUUAUCAGUUUAAUAUCUGAUAUGUGGACUAUCGAUUCACAUGAUAUUAACUUAAUUUUUUAAGGGGAAGAGUCUGUUAAAGUAGCUUGCUACUUGGGCUCUUGCGCGUUGCCCAUGCGUUGCACUACUGUACGGGCCUGGCGUGCCCCAC